GGGGGGGGGGGGGGGGGGGCGGGGGGCGGGGGGGGCGGGCGGGGGCGGGCGGCGGGGUGCGGACGAGGGGGGGACGGGGGGGUGAUGCGGCGGAACGUGCCCCGUCGGGGGGGAUAGCUCCUCGCACGAGUAGCUACUACCGCCUCCGAUCUCUGGAUGAAAGCGGGGGACCGUAAGGCCUCGCGCGAUUGGGGCGGCCGAUGUCAGAUUAGGUAGUUGGUGGGGUAAAGGCUCACCAAGCCAACGAUCUGUAGCUGGUCUGAGAGGACGACCAGCCACACUGGGACUGAGACACGGCCCAGACUCCUACGGGAGGCAGCAGUGGGGAAUUUUGGACAAUGGGCGCAAGCCUGAUCCAGCAAUGCCGCGUGCAGGAAGAAGGCCUUCGGGUUGUAAACUGCUUUUGUACGGAACGAAACGGCUCUGGUUAAUACCCGGGGCUAAUGACGGUACCGUAAGAAUAAGCACCGGCUAACUACGUG
This 482-nucleotide ribosomal RNA is filed under the name uncultured bacterium. RNAcentral describes it as "partial 16S ribosomal RNA". It matches the Rfam family "Bacterial small subunit ribosomal RNA", at positions 35 to 507 of the family's 1533-position model. The record is from RNAcentral.